CUCAAGGAAGAUAAUGACGGUACUUGAGGAGGAAGCCCCGGCUAACUACGUGCCAGCAGCCGCGGUAAUACGUAGGGGGCUAGCGUUAUCCGGAUUUACUGGGCGUAAAGGGUGCGUAGGCGGUCUUUCAAGUCAGGAGGGAAAGGCUACGGCUCAACCGUAGUAAGCUCUUGAAACUGGGAGACUUGAGUGCAGGAGAGGAGAGUGGAAUUCCUAGUGUAGCGGUGAAAUGCGUAGAUAUUAGGAGGAACACCAGUUGCGAAGGCGGCUCUCUGGACUGU
This 281-nucleotide ribosomal RNA is filed under the name Clostridioides difficile. RNAcentral describes it as "partial 16S ribosomal RNA". It matches the Rfam family "Bacterial small subunit ribosomal RNA", at positions 438 to 737 of the family's 1533-position model. The record is from RNAcentral. Lineage: Bacteria; Bacillati; Bacillota; Clostridia; Peptostreptococcales; Peptostreptococcaceae.